Molecule: ribosomal RNA, 254 nt
Filed under: uncultured bacterium
Lineage: Bacteria
Description: partial 16S ribosomal RNA
Rfam family: Bacterial small subunit ribosomal RNA
Source: RNAcentral
GACGUAGGGCGCAAGCGUUGUCCGGAUUUAUUGGGCGUAAAGAGCUCGUAGGCGGUGUGUCGCGUCGGCCGUGAAAACCUGCAGCUUAACUGUGGGCUUGCGGUCGAUACGGGCAUCACUGGAGUUCGGCAGGGGAGACUGGAAUUCCUGGUGUAGCGGUGAAAUGCGCAGAUAUCAGGAGGAACACCGGUGGCGAAGGCGGGUCUCUGGGCCGAUACUGACGCUGAGGAGCGAAAGCGUGGGGAGCGAACAGG